RNAcentral lists this ribosomal RNA (253 nucleotides) under uncultured bacterium. Its description in RNAcentral is "partial 16S ribosomal RNA". It matches the Rfam family "Bacterial small subunit ribosomal RNA", at positions 524 to 776 of the family's 1533-position model. The record is from RNAcentral.
GACGGAGGGGGCUAGCGUUGUUCGGAAUUACUGGGCGUAAAGCGCGCGUAGGCGGCCGGUCAAGUUAGGCGUGAAAGGCCUGGGCUCAACCUGGGAACGGCGCUUAAGACUGAUCGGCUGGAGUCCGGGAGAGGGUGGUGGAAUUCCCAGUGUAGAGGUGAAAUUCGUAGAUAUUGGGAAGAACACCGAUGGCGAAGGCAGCCAUCUGGACCGACACUGACGCUGAGGCGCGAAAGCGUGGGGAGCAGACAGG